AAGUCGUAACAAGGUUUCCGUAGGUGAACCUGCGGAAGGAUCAUUACCGAGUAACGGGUCUCCGGACCCACGCUCCCACCCUUUGUGUAUCUACCACGUUUCGUUGCUUCGGCGGGGUCGAUCCCAACGGCCACCGGCCCGCGGGGGACCCGUCGGAGGAGCACCAAAACUCUUGUUAACAGUGUCGUCUGAGAACAAACAAAAUGAAUUAAAACUUUCAACAACGGAUCUCUUGGUUCUG
RNAcentral lists this unclassified non-coding RNA (241 nucleotides) under fungal sp. Its description in RNAcentral is "partial internal transcribed spacer region". The stretch from base 1 to 46 matches the Rfam family "Eukaryotic small subunit ribosomal RNA", at positions 1786 to 1831 of the family's 1831-position model. The record is from RNAcentral. Lineage: Eukaryota; Fungi.